This 57-nucleotide small RNA is filed under the name Arabidopsis thaliana (thale cress). Its description in RNAcentral is "ATSL292230". Lineage: Eukaryota; Viridiplantae; Streptophyta; Magnoliopsida; Brassicales; Brassicaceae. The record is from RNAcentral.
UUAGUUAUAUUUUGCGCAGUUUCUUUUACAGCCAUUCCGCUCUUUUUUAUACUGAUU